Molecule: long non-coding RNA, 560 nt
Organism: Helianthus annuus (common sunflower)
Lineage: Eukaryota; Viridiplantae; Streptophyta; Magnoliopsida; Asterales; Asteraceae
Exons: 3
Source: RefSeq, a predicted model, not a curated record
CACAACUCACAUCUCACCAGUCUCUCUCUCUCUCUGGCGAUUCCAGAUCCAGAUCUGGAUCUAGGGUUUCUCUGCUAUCUCUCUCGCGAUCCAAGCUAUUCAGAUCCGCCUUUCCAUCUGCUCUCUCUCUCACACGAUCCAAGCGAUUCAGAUCCAAGGAGAUUCAGAUCCAAGAGAUUCAGAUCUAGGUGCCGUGUGUGCGAUUCAGGGUUUAAGCAUGUUUAAAACUAGGGUUUCAGGAGAUCGUGAGACGAGGAAAAGCGGGGAUUUCACCAGAUCUAGGGUGUUACUUUCAUUCGAUUUCGAAUCCAUGACCCCAUCCCGUGACAGUGUGGUGUGCAGAUGGAUCCCUAGCCGUCGCAUCUGGUGAACCCGCACAUAAUAACUCUUUUGACCUGUUUCCUAACCUGACUUUCGGCUCAUCUUUCCUAAAUCGUUAUCUUUAUGUUUAAUGUUUUCCGCCCAGAACUGGCAGCACGGUGGCGGUGGAGUGAGGAAACAGUCAAACAGAAGAGACACAAGUGGAGGAGUGGAAUAUUGACGCUUGGUAAUCGAGUGAC